Molecule: ribosomal RNA, 484 nt
Filed under: uncultured bacterium
Lineage: Bacteria
Description: partial 16S ribosomal RNA
Rfam family: Bacterial small subunit ribosomal RNA
Source: RNAcentral
AUUGAACGCUGGCGGCAGGCCUAACACAUGCAAGUCGAGCGGAUGAAGGGAGCUUGCUCCUGGAUUCAGCGGCGGACGGGUGAGUAAUGCCUAGGAAUCUGCCUGGUAGUGGGGGAUAACGUCCGGAAACGGGCGCUAAUACCGCAUACGUCCUGAGGGAGAAAGUGGGGGAUCUUCGGACCUCACGCUAUCAGAUGAGCCUAGGUCGGAUUAGCUAGUUGGUGGGGUAAAGGCCUACCAAGGCGACGAUCCGUAACUGGUCUGAGAGGAUGAUCAGUCACACUGGAACGGAGACACGGUCCGGCCUACUGCGGGGGGCAGAGGGGGGAAAUAUGGAAAAGGGGGCAAAGUCCGGAUCCCGCCAGGCGGGUGGUGGAAAGAAGGUCUUGGGAUUGAAAAGCAUUUUAAGUGGGGGGAAAGGGAAAUAAGUUAAUACCUUGCUGUUUUGAGGUUACCAAAAGAAUAAGCACGGACAAACUCCGUG